This 338-nucleotide ribosomal RNA is filed under the name uncultured soil bacterium. Its description in RNAcentral is "bacterial SSU rRNA". It matches the Rfam family "Bacterial small subunit ribosomal RNA", at positions 26 to 376 of the family's 1533-position model. The record is from RNAcentral.
AGAUUGAACGCUGGCGGCAUGCCUAACACAUGCAAGUCGAACGGGAGUAGCAAUACUCUAGUGGCGGACGGGUGAGGAAUACGUAGGAAUUUGCCCUUAAGUGGGGGAUAACCCGGGGAAACCCGGAUUAAUACCGCAUGACCUCGAAAGAGCAAAGUGGGGGAUCGCAAGACCUCACGCUUUUGGAGAAGCCUACGUCGGAUUAGCUAGUUGGUGAGGUAAUGGCUCACCAAGGCGACGAUCCGUAACUGGUCUGAGAGGGACUGGACUACGACGUCAACACCGGAAUGAGACACGGUCCGGACUCACGGAGCAGCAGUGGGAUAUGGACAAUGGGC